Molecule: long non-coding RNA, 281 nt
Filed under: Homo sapiens (human)
Lineage: Eukaryota; Metazoa; Chordata; Mammalia; Primates; Hominidae
Description: non-protein coding lnc-HABP4-2:11
Source: RNAcentral
CAAUAGAGAACAGAUUAGUGGUUCCCAGAAGGGACUGGGAGGAAAGUGGGUGUGGCUAUAAAAUGGCAGCCCAGGAAUCCUUGUAGUGAUGGAAUUGUUCUGUAUCUUGACUAUAUCAAUGCCCAGAACCUGAUUGUAAUAUUGUACUAUAAAGAAGAAAAAAGAAUUAAAAAGAUUGAAGAAAGCCUAUAAGAUUUAUGGGACAUAAACAAGCAACCCAGUAUAUAUAUUAUGGUAUUCCAAAGAGAACAGAGAAAGAAAAGGGCAACAGGCUUAUGUGA